CACCACGUCAUCUGGGGAGUAGCCCGCCGUCCAUCCGGACGGUUUCCCGCAUCAACAUACUUGGCCGAGAGGCCGUGGUGCAGGAAGGACGGAUCACCGUCCCGGCGAGACCAAUGACAUUGCGCCUCCGCUUGCCGGGUGGAGUGGCGCGAUGUCGUUGUGUUGUUCGUCCGCCCGGCACCGGAUU
This 187-nucleotide small RNA is filed under the name Croceibacterium atlanticum. Its description in RNAcentral is "Altererythrobacter atlanticus Manganese sequence". It matches the Rfam family "Manganese Mn2+ riboswitch aptamer (yybP-ykoY)". From Rfam's summary of the family: This RNA was originally discovered in E. coli during a large scale screen and was named SraF. The family was later found to exist upstream of related families of protein genes in many bacteria, including the the yybP and ykoK genes in B. subtilis. Lineage: Bacteria; Pseudomonadati; Pseudomonadota; Alphaproteobacteria; Sphingomonadales; Erythrobacteraceae. The record is from RNAcentral.